This 557-nucleotide ribosomal RNA is filed under the name Pseudomonas aeruginosa. RNAcentral describes it as "bacterial SSU rRNA". It matches the Rfam family "Bacterial small subunit ribosomal RNA", at positions 1 to 555 of the family's 1533-position model. Lineage: Bacteria; Pseudomonadati; Pseudomonadota; Gammaproteobacteria; Pseudomonadales; Pseudomonadaceae. The record is from RNAcentral.
UCCAGAGUUUUGAUCAUGGCUCAGAUUUGAACGCUGGCGGCAGGCCUAACACAUGCAAGUCGAGCGGAUGAAGGGAGCUUGCUCCUGGAUUCAGCGGCGGACGGGUGAGUAAUGCCUAGGAAUCUGCCUGGUAGUGGGGGAUAACGUCCGGAAACGGGCGCUAAUACCGCAUACGUCCUGAGGGAGAAAGUGGGGGAUCUUCGGACCUCACGCUAUCAGAUGAGCCUAGGUCGGAUUAGCUAGUUGGUGGGGUAAAGGCCUACCAAGGCGACGAUCCGUAACUGGUCUGAGAGGAUGAUCAGUCACACUGGAACUGAGACACGGUCCAGACUCCUACGGGAGGCAGCAGUGGGGAAUAUUGGACAAUGGGCGAAAGCCUGAUCCAGCCAUGCCGCGUGUGUGAAGAAGGUCUUCGGAUUGUAAAGCACUUUAAGUUGGGAGGAAGGGCAGUAAGUUAAUACCUUGCUGUUUUGACGUUACCAACAGAAUAAGCACCGGCUAACUUCGUGCCAGCAGCCGCGGUAAUACGAAGGGUGCAAGCGUUAAUCGGAAUUACU